AACGAACGCUGGCGGCAGGCUUAACACAUGCAAGUCGAACGGGAUUAUCUAGCUUGCUAGAUAUGAGAGUGGCGCACGGGUGAGUAACGCGUAGGGAUCUACCCUAGAGUGGGGGAUAACAGUUGGAAACGACUGCUAAUACCGCAUAAUCUCUGAGGAGGAAAGCUUUAGUGCUUUAGGAUGAACCUGCGUUAGAUUAGUUAGUUGGUGGGGUAAUGGCCUACCAAGGCGACGAUCUAUAGCUGGUCUGAGAGGAUGAUCAGCCACACUGGGACUGAGACACGGCCCAGACUCCUACGGGAGGCAGCAGUGAGGAAUAUUGGACAAUGGGGGCAACCCUGAUCCAGCCAUGUCGCGUGAGUGAAGAAGGCC
This 372-nucleotide ribosomal RNA is filed under the name uncultured bacterium. RNAcentral's name for it is "bacterial SSU rRNA". It matches the Rfam family "Bacterial small subunit ribosomal RNA", at positions 29 to 416 of the family's 1533-position model. The record is from RNAcentral.